UACGGGGGGAGCAAGCGUUGUUCGGAUUUACUGGGCGUAAAGGGCGCGUAGGCGGCCAGCACAAGUCAGUUGUGAAAUCUCCGAGCUUAACUCGGAAAGGUCAACUGAUACUGUGCGGCUAGAGUGCGGAAGGGGCAACUGGAAUUCUCGGUGUAGCGGUGAAAUGCGUAAAUAUCGAGAGGAACACCUGCGGCGAAGGCGGGUUGCUGGGCUGAUACUGACGCUGAGGCGCGAAAGCCAGGGGAGCGAACGGG
This 254-nucleotide ribosomal RNA is filed under the name uncultured bacterium. RNAcentral's name for it is "partial 16S ribosomal RNA". It matches the Rfam family "Bacterial small subunit ribosomal RNA", at positions 524 to 776 of the family's 1533-position model. The record is from RNAcentral.